Molecule: long non-coding RNA, 1135 nt
Organism: Plutella xylostella (diamondback moth)
Lineage: Eukaryota; Metazoa; Arthropoda; Insecta; Lepidoptera; Plutellidae
Source: RefSeq, a predicted model, not a curated record
AAUAAUAAAAACGUUUAUUCCGUGCCAUCGCACACACACAGAAAAAAAAAGAAAACAUAAUGAAAAACAGUAAUAAAUGAACACAAAGACCUUAUGACUAAACAAAAGAAAUAGAUGAGAGGAUAUGUGUGCGUUGUCUGGCACCGAAACGGACGGCGGCUCAGCUAAGGCGGUAGAAGAUAAUAUAUUACCUACUACCGCGCUGAUUUUCAGCCGCUUCCCUUUAUGAUGCCACUGACUAUAAAUAAAAACUAAAAACUAAAACUAUGGCAAGUGCACGGCCGGCAGCUGUGAACCAAGGUCACCCGGGGUACUUCACACGCAUAAGCGGUUCGUGUUUUCAGCGGCCCCGAGUGCCUCACGCGGCUGUAAAAGGCUUUCAGUGCCUACGCUGCCGCCGUGCUGCGCCCACACUGUGCCAUAAACUGUAAAUAAAUAUAUGAUUGUGAUUUAAAACGUAAUUAGAAAUAUCAUGUAGUGAGUCUGUAGGCAAGUGGUAUAUUUUUGUGUAAUGAAUAAUUCAAUUUUACGAUGGAUAUUGGGAAUGAAGUCAUAGACUAAAGAAGGUAUUCAUAUUGAAGGUAGCUGUGAACAUUAGCUGUGUUGCAAAAAAUGGGAUGAUUUUGGAGAUAAGAAAAUAUGUACAAUAAUGGAAGAUUAUAUUAUGCCGCGGGAGUCCAUUUGUGUGUUGCGAAGAAAACUAGUGUCGCGCAAUCCAGGAUCCAAUUUAUUCCAACAGUGUGUGGAGUUAAAGGAGAAGCUUCCCGCAAACGAUGCUGAUUUAUGCUGAGGGGUUAGAAGAAGGUAGGAGGAUGCCCUGGUUCGGUGAGAGUUGAGGUCACGUGACCACCGUAGUUUAUUAUACAGAUAUUCGGGCAGCCGUUUCUGUAUAAUCCCAAAUAGAAGGCAGGCAAAGUGAAGGUGCCGACGGCUUGCCAAUUUCAAUAACUUUGAUCUUAUGAGGUACGGAGUAACGUGACUACGAGCAGGGAUGGUGUAGCAGUAUCGGGCACAAGCGUUUUGCACUCGCUGUAAAAGACGCUGUGUUUUACCAUAGAUGCAAGGACCGUAUACUGUGUCAGCAUAAUUUAAUUUAGAUAAAACUAAACUUUCACAUAAUUGCUCACGAAUCUCA